GACGAACGCUGGCGGCGUGCCUAACACAUGCAAGUCGAGCGGUAACAGGUGUAGCAAUACAUGCUGACGAGCGGCGAACGGGUGAGUAAUGCUUCGGAAUCUUCCCAGUAGUGGGGAAUA
This 120-nucleotide ribosomal RNA is filed under the name uncultured bacterium. RNAcentral's name for it is "partial 16S ribosomal RNA". It matches the Rfam family "Bacterial small subunit ribosomal RNA", at positions 28 to 145 of the family's 1533-position model. The record is from RNAcentral.